Molecule: non-coding RNA, 254 nt
Organism: Pelobates cultripes (western spadefoot toad)
Lineage: Eukaryota; Metazoa; Chordata; Amphibia; Anura; Pelobatidae
Source: the annotation of a GenBank genome assembly
UGCGGUUAACCACAACGUUCUAAUUGGGAUCAAGAGGUUAACCAGCAGCACACUUCUCAACGACAAGGCGACGACGCAUUCGUAUGUCAAUCCACAUCAACUUUCGAUGCCAUUUACUGCACCUACCAUGGUGACCACGGGUAAUGGGGAAUCAAGGUUCGAUUCCAUACAGGAACUCUGACAAACGGCUACCACAUGCAAGGAAGGCAGCUGGCACGCAAAUGACCCACUCCCGACGCGGGGAGGUAGUGACG